UAAUAAGCGAAAUAUGAGUUGUCCAAUCACAUAGUUUCGGGGGGUAUAUAUAGGAGGGGAUUGUACGACACCAGAUGUGUGUUCGAGCACCGGUUGUGCGUCACUGCCUGAGGUUCGCCAGUUCCGCGUUUGCCCCUUCCGCUCUUACAGUUUCCUUAUGGAGAGCAUCAGUUGUGGUUCUUUGUAUGGCGGCCGUUUUCUCUCGCUGCCUUAAAGUUCUCCCUCCGUAAUCCCGUGCGGGAUCGGCGCUUUGAUGUCCUUUCAUGUUUGCGGCUGCAUGUGAGUGGAUGCGUAGGAAUGAUCAUAACGAGAAGGAUCGAGGCUUCCGGACAGGCUACUAGUUGGCCCUCGUGUGUGGUGGUGGGAUUCGAACACGGAGUGCAGUGUGUUCACAUUGAUUUGAUCGUGUGUGUGUGUGUGUGUGUGUGUGUGUGUGUGUGUGUGUGUGUGUGUGACUUGUGCACCGGGUGGUGAGAUUUUUGAGACCUAGCGAUUAUAUUCAGUAAUUAGAUUACCUGUCUUCGGUAAGCCUCGGUCGCAUUGUUUCUAUUUGUUUCCAAUUGUCUUCCAUGUUAUUACAGCCUGACUCCUGUGUCUUUUAUUGACUUUUAGAAUUCAUAUUUUGUAAAAUAAACUUUGUACUUUUUGGUA
Long non-coding RNA from Labeo rohita (rohu), 651 nucleotides. RefSeq lists it as uncharacterized. Lineage: Eukaryota; Metazoa; Chordata; Actinopteri; Cypriniformes; Cyprinidae. The record is from RefSeq and is a predicted model, not a curated record. The transcript has 3 exons.